UAGCUCAGUGGUAGAGCACAUGCUUAGCAGGCACAAGGUCCUGGGUUCAAUCCCCAG
RNAcentral lists this transfer RNA (57 nucleotides) under Camelus bactrianus (Bactrian camel). It matches the Rfam family "tRNA", at positions 8 to 63 of the family's 71-position model. Rfam says of the family: Transfer RNA (tRNA) molecules are approximately 80 nucleotides in length. The record is from Rfam by way of RNAcentral. RNAcentral also lists the same sequence under 1 other name. Lineage: Eukaryota; Metazoa; Chordata; Mammalia; Artiodactyla; Camelidae.